GGGGCUCGGGGCCGGGCCGCGCCCCUUCCGGCGGCCGCUGCCGGAACCGCGGAGCGGAGGGGGCGGACGGGCCCGGGACACCGCCUCGCCUUGCGCUGCCGCUGCCGCUCCCUCCCGCCCCGUCCUGUCCCCUCAUGGCGCUGGAGCGGACGGGCACCGGCCCCUCCCGCCGCCCGCUCCGGCCUCCCCCGCCCCUGUCUCCUCUUGGUUCGCCGGGCAUGUGAGCGGGGCCGUGACCGCAGAAACCUAACUUCAAAAUACUUAAGAAGUGAAUGCCUCUGGAUUUUGGAACAAAAUUGCAGUGGGAUUUGGUAGUAAAAGUGAAGAUGAUCAGAUAAUGAGAGUUCCUAAUGGCAUCAAAGCGUGGCUGCCACAUUUGUGAAGUUUCUUUUGCAAGAAUUUUGUGGGAGAAGCUUGGCUGAAUUAUCUAUAAUGAGGAGCAGCAGUGAAUUAUGUAGUACAUUGCAAAGGGUUGAAAUAAAUGGCCUGUUAAGGUAAUUUUUUUUUUGCUU
RNAcentral lists this long non-coding RNA (512 nucleotides) under Serinus canaria (Common canary). RNAcentral describes it as "lncRNA (ENSSCAG00000016452.1)". The record is from RNAcentral. Lineage: Eukaryota; Metazoa; Chordata; Aves; Passeriformes; Fringillidae.